CCCGCGGCAAGACGGAAAGACCCCGUGAACCUUUACUAUAGCUUGACACUGAACAUUGAGCCUUGAUGUGUAGGAUAGGUGGGAGGCUUUGAAGUGUGGACGCCAGUCUGCAUGGAGCCGACCUUGAAAUACCACCCUUUAAUGUUUGAUGUUCUAACGUUGACCCGUAAUCCGGGUUGCGGACAGUGUCUGGUGGGUAGUUUGACUGGGGCGGUCUCCUCCUAAAGAGUAACGGAGGAGCACGAAGGUUGGCUAAUCCUGGUCGGACAUCAGGAGGUUAGUGCAAUGGCAUAAGCCAGCUUGACUGCGAGCGUGACGGCGCGAGCAGGUGCGAAAGCAGGUCAUAGUGAUCCGGUGGUUCUGAAUGGAAGGGCCAUCGCUCAACGGAUAAAAGGUACUCCGGGGAUAACAGGCUGAUACCGCCCAAGAGUUCAUAUCGACGGCGGUGUUUGGCACCUCGAUGUCGGCUCAUCACAUCCUGGGGCUGAAGUAGGUCCCAAGGGUAUGGCUGUUCGCCAUUUAAAGUGGUACGCGAGCUGGGUUUAGAACGUCGUGAGACAGUUCGGUCCCUAUCUGCCGUGGGCGCUGGAGAACUGAGGGGGGCUGCUCCUAGUACGAGAGGACCGGAGUGGACGCAUCACUGGUGUUCGGGUUGUCAUGCCAAUGGCACUGCCCGGUAGCUAAAUGCGGAAGAGAUAAGUGCUGAAAGCAUCUAAGCACGAAACUUGCCCCGAGAUGAGUUCUCCCUGACUCCUUGAGAGUCCUGAAGGAACGUUGAAGACGACGACGUUGAUAGGCCGGGUGUGUAAGCGCAGCGAUGCGUUGAGCUAACCGGUACUAAUGAACCGUGAGG
This 853-nucleotide ribosomal RNA is filed under the name Escherichia coli. Its description in RNAcentral is "partial 23S ribosomal RNA". It matches the Rfam family "Bacterial large subunit ribosomal RNA", at positions 2069 to 2916 of the family's 2925-position model. The record is from RNAcentral. Lineage: Bacteria; Pseudomonadati; Pseudomonadota; Gammaproteobacteria; Enterobacterales; Enterobacteriaceae.